GUGUCAGCAGCCGCGGUAACACGUAGGCACCAAGCGUUGUCCGGAUUUAUUGGGCGUAAAGAGCUCGUAGGCGGUUCAGUAAGUCAGGUGUGAAAUCUUUGGGCUUAACCCAAAGCGUGCAUUUGAUACUGCUGUGACUUGAGUUCGGUAGGGGAGUGGGGAAUUCCUAGUGUAGCGGUGAAAUGCGCAGAUAUUAGGAGGAACACCGGUGGCGAAGGCGCCACUCUGGGCCGAAACUGACGCUGAGGAGCGAAAGCGUGGGUAGCAAACAGGAUUAGAUACCCCCGUAGUCC
This 293-nucleotide ribosomal RNA is filed under the name uncultured bacterium. RNAcentral's name for it is "partial 16S ribosomal RNA". It matches the Rfam family "Bacterial small subunit ribosomal RNA", at positions 505 to 796 of the family's 1533-position model. The record is from RNAcentral.